RNAcentral lists this ribosomal RNA (153 nucleotides) under Vibrio parahaemolyticus. Its description in RNAcentral is "partial 16S ribosomal RNA". It matches the Rfam family "Bacterial small subunit ribosomal RNA", at positions 1 to 133 of the family's 1533-position model. The record is from RNAcentral. Lineage: Bacteria; Pseudomonadati; Pseudomonadota; Gammaproteobacteria; Vibrionales; Vibrionaceae.
CUUAAAUUGAAGAGUUUGAUCAUGGCUCAGAUUGAACGCUGGCGGCAGGCCUAACACAUGCAAGUCGAGCGGAAACGAGUUAUCUGAACCUUCGGGGGACGAUAACGGCGUCGAGCGGCGGACGGGUGAGUAAUGCCUAGGAAAUUGCCCUGA